GAUGAUUUUUAAUUUUUCUUAGCAUAGAGGGAGAUACUUCCGAAGCACGAGCAGACUUAGCAACGUUUCAAAACUGAAGGGUUGCACUGGGUUCCUGUGUCUGAAGUUCUUCCUGCGGCUACAACCAAGCUACAGCUAAGGAGUAACAUAUUUCACGGGUUCCAGGAGACAAAAAGGUAUGUGCCCCA
This is a long non-coding RNA of Lontra canadensis (Northern American river otter), 188 nucleotides long. RefSeq lists it as uncharacterized. Lineage: Eukaryota; Metazoa; Chordata; Mammalia; Carnivora; Mustelidae. The transcript has 3 exons. The record is from RefSeq and is a predicted model, not a curated record.